GCCACCCUCAGGGAAAGACAGGUUUUGGA
Molecule: non-coding RNA, 29 nt
Filed under: Homo sapiens (human)
Lineage: Eukaryota; Metazoa; Chordata; Mammalia; Primates; Hominidae
Source: RNAcentral